This 254-nucleotide ribosomal RNA is filed under the name uncultured bacterium. RNAcentral's name for it is "partial 16S ribosomal RNA". It matches the Rfam family "Bacterial small subunit ribosomal RNA", at positions 524 to 777 of the family's 1533-position model. The record is from RNAcentral.
UACGUAGGGUGCGAGCGUUGCCCGGAUUUAUUGGGCGUAAAGGGCGCGCAGGCGGCUCGGCACGUCCGUUGUGAAAUCGCCCGGCUCAACUGGGCGGGGUCAGCGGAUACGGUCGAGCUUGAGCAAGCUAGGGGGCAAUGGAAUUCCCGGUGUAGUGGUGGAAUGCGUAGAUAUCGGGAGGAACACCAGUGGCGAAGGCGGUUGCCUGGAGCUUUGCUGACGCUGAGGCGCGAAAGCGUGGGGAGCGAGUCCGG